This 409-nucleotide ribosomal RNA is filed under the name uncultured bacterium. Its description in RNAcentral is "bacterial SSU rRNA". It matches the Rfam family "Bacterial small subunit ribosomal RNA", at positions 103 to 497 of the family's 1533-position model. The record is from RNAcentral.
CGGGUGAGUAACACGUGGGUAACCUGCCUGUAAGACUGGGAUAACUCCGGGAAACCGGGGCUAAUACCGGAUAACUCAGUUCCUCGCAUGAGGAACGGUUGAAAGGUGGCUUUUCGCUACCACUUACAGAUGGACCCGCGGCGCAUUAGCUAGUUGGUGAGGUAACGGCUCACCAAGGCGACGAUGCGUAGCCGACCUGAGAGGGUGAUCGGCCACACUGGGACUGAGACACGGCCCAGACUCCUACGGGAGGCAGCAGUAGGGAAUCUUCCGCAAUGGACGAAAGUCUGACGGAGCAACGCCGCGUGAGUGAAGAAGGUUUUCGGAUCGUAAAACUCUGUUGUUAGGGAAGAACAAGUGCAGUUCGAAUAGGGCUGCACCUUGACGGACCUAACCAGAAAGCCACGGC